RNAcentral lists this ribosomal RNA (442 nucleotides) under uncultured bacterium. RNAcentral describes it as "partial 16S ribosomal RNA". It matches the Rfam family "Bacterial small subunit ribosomal RNA", at positions 338 to 795 of the family's 1533-position model. The record is from RNAcentral.
CCUACGGGAGGCUGCAGUGGGGAAUAUUGGGCAAUGGGCGCAAGCCUGACCCAGCAACGCCGCGUGAAGGAAGAAGGCUUUCGGGUUGUAAACUUCUUUUAAGAGGGAAGAGCAGAAGACGGUACCUCUUGAAUAAGCCACGGCUAACUACGUGCCAGCAGCCGCGGUAAUACGUAGGUGGCAAGCGUUGUCCGGAUUUACUGGGUGUAAAGGGCGUGUAGCCGGGCUGACAAGUCAGAUGUGAAAUUCCGGGGGUCAACCCCGGACCUGCAUUUGAAACUGUUGGUCUUGAGUAUCGGAGAGGCAGGCGGAAGUCCGAGUGGAGCGGUGAGAUGCGUAGAUAGUGGGAGGAACACCAGUGGCGAAGGCGGCCUGCGGGACGACAACUGGCGGUGAUGCGCGAAAGCGUGGGGAGCAAACAGGAUUAGAUACCCGAGUAGUC